This 259-nucleotide ribosomal RNA is filed under the name uncultured prokaryote. RNAcentral's name for it is "partial 16S ribosomal RNA". It matches the Rfam family "Bacterial small subunit ribosomal RNA", at positions 524 to 782 of the family's 1533-position model. The record is from RNAcentral.
UACGUAGAGUGCGAGCGUUGUCCGGAAUUAUUGGGCGUAAAUAGCUUGUAGGCGGUUUGUCGCGUCUGCUGUGAAAAUCCGGGGCUCAACCCCGGACUUGCAGUGGGUACGGGCAGACUAGAGUGUGGUAGGGGAGACUGGAAUUCCUGGUGUAGCGGUGAAAUGCGCAGAUAUCAGGAGGAACACCGAUGGCGAAGGCAGGUCUCUGGGCCACUACUGACGCUGAGAAGCGAAAGCAUGGGGAGCGAACAGGAUUAGA